GAUGAAUUCUUUGGGUGGCAGUACAGGUCUAAAGUGCAAGGUUCAGUAUCUGCUCAAGGAGGAAUAAGAGGAGUCAUUACAAAGGGGAAGGAGAAAAUUGAUCCUCAUAGCAUGAAGAAUCAAGAACUGACACAGGACUUGGGUAUUCAAAGAAGUAGGUAGAGUUGUACCUUCUGGUUCAAGACUAAGGUUGCAAUCUGGGAAGCCCUGCUUGAUGGGAUGCGAUGCUGCAGAACAGAUGACUGUAAUGCAAAGCUCCUACU
Molecule: long non-coding RNA, 263 nt
Organism: Musa acuminata subsp. malaccensis (wild Malaysian banana)
Lineage: Eukaryota; Viridiplantae; Streptophyta; Magnoliopsida; Zingiberales; Musaceae
Source: RefSeq, a predicted model, not a curated record